Molecule: long non-coding RNA, 1160 nt
Filed under: Coturnix japonica (Japanese quail)
Lineage: Eukaryota; Metazoa; Chordata; Aves; Galliformes; Phasianidae
Description: lncRNA (ENSCJPG00005020416.1)
Source: RNAcentral
CAAAUCUUGUGGCACCCACAAGUGUACUGUCAGUAAUGAUGUGUUGUAUGUCCUCAACAGUUUAGUCGUACACUGUGUACAUGAAAUGAGAUGGGAAAGCAAAAUCCAGAAGAGAAAUAAAAAGAGAAAGGUAAAGACUGCAAAAAUAAAUAGCAUUUAUAAAUUAGGGAAAACUGAUAGAUUGAUGUGAAAGCAUUUGGUGGUGGUAGUAGAUUUGGUAGUGGUAAGAAUUGGAUGAAAAAGGGGUAUAAAAAGAGAUAAUAAAGGAUGAAGGAGGGGAAAACUAGCAUUUAAAUGAGGUUAUAAAAGGGGACAGAUAAAGCCUUUUGAAAAUCAGUAGUGUUCCGAAUGAAGUAUGGUGUACAGGUCUGCAUCUGUUCAUUUCAUUGUGUUCUUCUAAAGAAUGCAUUUUUCUAGUUCAUGGCUAACUGACUUCUGGGAAUAAAGUCUUACCUUUCAUUGUGUCAUUUGGAAGCUGUAACUGAUCUGCUGUUUUUAACCUUGGGUCAGUGGUGGAAAGUUGAAGAAGGUCCUUCUGUCACCUCAUAGACUCAGGAAAGUCAUACUGCAGUGACACUGCUUCUGCAGUCUAAGUAUGGCAAGUAAAUGGACUAUGGCCAUUUACAGAAGUCUCAGGAGAAUGUAAGCACAUGUCCUUCAGUACGAAAAUAGUUCAGUAUUGCUCUUCAGUUACUCAAGUGUUUGCUAACGUCAUCUCAGAAGGUAAAACGCAUCAUUUAUUUCCAUUUUCUUGUAUACAUCCAGUAUCCUGUAUACUGGAUGGCAAACACUGCCGUUAUAAAGAGAGGACAGCUGCCUUUAUAUUUAGCCCUGACUGCCGUCCUUGGGGUCACAUGGGAUGAUUGGAAGCCUGAUGACGUUCCCCAUCCCUUGGGAGGAUCUAUGUGCUGCCUGCAGGACUCUGGAACAACUUGUGAGGGCUGGAAGUACCCACCGGCGCUUAGGUCACUGCAUCCAGAUGAGAGACAGCAGUGUUCUAAUGAAGUCUGAAGCAGCCCGUAAUACUAUGACUCUGCUUUUAAUUCCUGCUACUAUUAGAAGGUAACAGAAAGGAAGAAAGAAAAAAAUGGCCGAGCUGGUUUUCGAUUCUUUUCAAAGAUUUAAAUAAAUUGCACAGGUUGCUAUUUCUUUUUCCCUUA